This is a non-coding RNA of Paramuricea clavata, 500 nucleotides long. The record is from the annotation of a GenBank genome assembly. NCBI's taxonomy places the organism in Eukaryota, Metazoa, Cnidaria, Anthozoa, Malacalcyonacea, Plexauridae.
CUGAUCCUCUGCUCCCUUCGCCUCGUGUCUCUUUUAAAAGCGAAAAACGUCCGAUCCCCUCGAUCCCUUAUGCCCUGGUGGCCGUGAGGUGACUCUGAUCCUCUGCUCCCUUCGCCUCGUGUCUCUUUUAAAAGCGAAAAACGUCCGAUUCCCUCGAUCCCUUCGAUCCCUUAUGCCCUGGUGGCCGUGAGGUGACUCUGACCCUCUGCUCCCUUCGCCUCGUGUCUCUUUUAAAAGCGAAAAACGUCCGAUCCCCUCGAUCCCUUCGAUCCCCUCGAUCCCUUAUGUCCGGUGGCAGUGAGGAGACUAUGAUCCUCUGCUCCCUUCACCUCGUGUCAACGGGAAAUACGUCCGAUCCCCUUUACUCGAUAGAACGUGCCAUCAGAAAACGCUCUUCUUCGGUUUCGUGCGUUCAAAUGUUCUUGUCAGUCGACCAGCGUUCCCAUUCAUUACGGCCUUCGAUUCUUGUGCUCAAGUAAUUCUUAUGUCCAGAACUGUAA